AGUGAACGCUGGCGGUAGGCCUAACACAUGCAAGUCGAACGGCAGCACAGUAAGAGCUUGCUCUUACGGGUGGCGAGUGGCGGACGGGUGAGGAAUACAUCGGAAUCUACUUUUUCGUGGGGGAUAACGUAGGGAAACUUACGCUAAUACCGCAUACGGCCUACGGGUGAAAGCAGGGGAUCUUCGGACCUUGCGCGAUUGAAUGAGCCGAUGUCGGAUUAGCUAGUUGGCGGGGUAAAGGCCCACCAAGGCGACGAUCCGUAGCUGGUCUGAGAGGAUGAUCGGCCACACUGGAACUGAGACACGGUCCAGACUCCUACGGGAGGCAGCAGUGGGGAAUAUUGGACAAUGGGCGAAAGCCUGAUCCAGCCAUACCGCGUGGGUGAAGAAGGCCUUCGGGUUGUAAAGCCCUUUUGUUGGGAAAGAAAAGCAGCAGGUUAAUACCCCGCUGUUCUGACGGUACCCAAAGAAUAAGCACCGGCUAACUUCGUG
RNAcentral lists this ribosomal RNA (492 nucleotides) under uncultured bacterium. RNAcentral describes it as "partial 16S ribosomal RNA". It matches the Rfam family "Bacterial small subunit ribosomal RNA", at positions 29 to 507 of the family's 1533-position model. The record is from RNAcentral.